This 168-nucleotide unclassified non-coding RNA is filed under the name Apiotrichum coprophilum. The record is from RNAcentral. Lineage: Eukaryota; Fungi; Basidiomycota; Tremellomycetes; Trichosporonales; Trichosporonaceae.
GAAAUCUCAACCAUUAGGGUUUCUUAAUGGCUUGGAUUUGAGUGUUGCCAGUCUCUGGCUCACUUUAAAGGAGUUAGCGAGUUUAACAAUGUCGUCUGGCGUAAUAAGUUUCGCUGGUAAGACUUGUGAAGUUUGCUUCUAAUCGUCUUCGGACAAUUACUUUGACUC